Dioscorea cayenensis subsp. rotundata (Guinea yam) is the source of this 549-nucleotide long non-coding RNA. RefSeq lists it as uncharacterized. The transcript has 4 exons. Lineage: Eukaryota; Viridiplantae; Streptophyta; Magnoliopsida; Dioscoreales; Dioscoreaceae. The record is from RefSeq and is a predicted model, not a curated record.
GGAAGUAGAGGAGAGAAUGAAGCAAUAUUCUCCUGUGAUGCUUGAGGAUCUUGCAGUGCCUUUUCAAGUAAACAUUGAAGAGGAGGGGCCAUUGCCUGUUAAUGAUCACUUGAGUUAUCAACCACUUGAUGUGUAUCCUGCACAGCUUCAUCGGUGUUGAGUAUUCACUAGCAAUUCAGGUGUUGUGCGUCAGGAAAUGGAGUACUUCACAGACCUUUUUAUUGAGCAUCAGAGGGUUUCCAAACACAAAUUUCUUUAGGGGAACAUUGCCAGUUAAUGAUUGCUUGAAUUAUCAACCACUAGAUGUAUACCCUGCACAACUUGCUGUAAAUCACUGUGGAUAAGGUUUUCCAAGCUAACUACUUGGGUUUUUGAGAAGAUCAAUAGUUAAGGAAACAUCCCGCCCAUGAGUUCCCUUUGAAUCUUGCAAGGUAGCUGUUCAUCUCAUUGUUGCUAUUUUCUUUUGGCUAAUGUUUUUGGAGGUCAGGCUGUAACGGGAACUCGGGCAAAUAACUCUUGUUUCAAAUGCUGUUAUUUGUUGUGGUUUUA